GCAGGGAAAGCAUGAAUGAGGAGCUCAUGUCUCAGGGGUCUGAUGACUCAAGCUUUGUUCUCAUGGUUACUCUGAUGUCAGAGAAGCCCCGGUGGGUGUGAAUAGCCUGGAAAACAAAAUAUCUGCCCAGGACCUCUUAACCUUCUGGAUACAUAAUUUUACUAAUCUUACAGGAUCGACACCUAGCUGGUUUACGUAGAAUAGGGAAAGCUAGACAAAACAGCUGUUGUGUUGGCAACACGGAGACUUCAUAACGAUAUCACAUACUGCAUGAUGGAACUCUCCAGUAGACAGGUCACAAAGGAACUUCUACUGUUCAGUGCCUCCAAGGAGCCCUUGGAAGAUGGAAAGUUUGAUGACUUGAUUUCCAAGCACAUGAGCUGAAUGUUUGAAAUUAGAUUUAGGGAGGUAAAUGGAAAUCUGUGGUCUCUAAAUGGAAGGUCUGCAUUUUAGGGCAGUAUUUCCCACCUGAGAUGAUUGGAAUUAUGAACAUUUGUCUCAAUUGUCAUAAAAUCACUGGUCUGCUGAUUUUGCCAACAGAGUAGACAAGACUUUUUUGUCAUGUAUGAUGGAGGCACCAUAAUCUCCCAGCCUUGGAGGUGAAGAGUCUCAAAGUGGUGAAGCAUGGAUACAAUGUAAGGAAAGACUUACUGAAGCAGCAGAGAGCUGAGGAAAGUUCUGUAAAAGGAACGGUCUCAAUGGCAUGUGCUUUGCCACUUUACUCUUUCCUUCUUCCUGCCUGGAACAUGAUCCAAUGCCUGAAGAAAGUUCACCAACCUGUGGUUCCUCAGAAAGACAACAGAAUAUCAGAUCCUAGAUACACAAGCUGCAUAGAGUGUUUGGUGGAAACUGAUCCUUUCACGUCUGAACUGCAAGUGAACCAAGUAAACAAAGAAUUAAUCCCAGCAAAUUCAAGGGUGUACUCACUUGACAGAAGUUGACUGAUGUUGCAAAUGGAAAGGAUUUUUCCCUACCAAAAAAUAGUGAAAAAGAAACUCCCAGAAGAAGAAGCAUGUAAAAUGUACAAUAUCUUGAAGGAGUCCAGGGGAAGGACCAGGGAUAACAAGAGGUUUCCUGUGACUAGCAGCAAAGCCAGAGAAAAUGUAAGUGCCUCAAUCAGCUGGGGACAGAUUAUGAAAGGCCUUUGCUAAGGGGUCUGGAUUCCUGAGCAAGAUA
This is a long non-coding RNA of Canis lupus familiaris (dog), 1176 nucleotides long. RefSeq lists it as uncharacterized. The record is from RefSeq and is a predicted model, not a curated record. The transcript has 4 exons. NCBI's taxonomy places the organism in Eukaryota, Metazoa, Chordata, Mammalia, Carnivora, Canidae.